This is a long non-coding RNA of Ictalurus punctatus (channel catfish), 984 nucleotides long. The record is from Ensembl. NCBI's taxonomy places the organism in Eukaryota, Metazoa, Chordata, Actinopteri, Siluriformes, Ictaluridae.
GGAAGAUUAAUACUUUGUCGUGUCGUGUCGUGUCGUGUCGUGUCGUGUCGUGUCGUGUCGUGUCGUGUCGUGUCGUGUCGUGUCGUGUCGUGUCGUGUCGUGUCGUGUCGUGUCGUGUCGUGUCGUGUCGUGUCGUGUCGUGUCGUGUCUAGUUCGCGCUGGAUUAUCCGCUUCCAGUCCCUCGUCAUAGUUUGUUUCCUUUUUUGUUUAUCGACCCUGUUUUCCGUGACCACGACCUAGAUUCCUGCCUUGCCCCGCGUAUGCCUGUUUACCAAUCGCCUGACCUCUUGCAUGUCUAUGGAUUACGUUUUGGAUCACGUUUUGGAUUUGUCUGCCUGUCUCUCUUUCAAAUAAACAACUGUUCAUCCUGCACUUGCAUCCGUCCUAUCUCUGCUCCGUCACGAUUCGUGACAGAACUGAGUAAUUUCUGUUCUAAUUGCUGCAGUCAGGGCUGUGUGGCACCUAUCUGCGUACUCUGCCAGCUUCUCUGUUUUUUCAUCCAUGGAGGAAGGCUGGAAAACACCUGUGGACAAACCAUGCUGAGCUCAGCAAUGGGUGCAGUUCGAGAUAUGGUGUCUCUGUCCAUAGCCAGAUUCUCAAAAGCCCUCUUAAUUGAACAAAAUUUGUUGUAGUACUUCGGGGCCUUCUUGUAUCGAUUUAUUACACUUGUUACAGUCUUCACUGCAAAAUGUAAAAAAGAACCAUGUAAGUAAGACAUUCUGGGUGAACAAUAAAAGUAUAACUUCUUGUCUAGUCCUUUGUAAGUUCAUUUGUACUAAUUUGUAUGCCUCAAAUAACCUUAAAGUAUAAACAGGAUACUAUUAAGCUAUUGAAUAAAAACUUUGCUGUGGCCUUGGACCUAUUUGGAUCCAUUUCAGGAGCUAAUCAGUUCAUCUGCUGUUUGGUAAUGAGAAUCUUGGCCAGACGCAUGGACAGACAAACAACCCAAGAACACAAGGCCUCCACCACCUAGUGUGGGAGCAU